UGCACUAAUUACCAUCCAAGCCCAGCUCCGGGGUUUACUGGCAGCGAGGACCUAAAGUCAGUGACAAUUUUGGAUGGGUCUGGCAAAGGUGAGAGCAGGGCUAAGUGCUUCACAGCUGUGGCCCCCUACCAGGUGCCCCCAGUUUAUCUCCCCUCUGCCAGUGCAGUAAGGAGGUGAUAGCCAGCAGGAGUGAGGGACAUCAUGAAGGUUAUGGAGCUCAGCUGUUCUGCUGACACCCCCACCCAGGGUAUAUAUACCUCUCCAGCCCCACUGCCAGGGUUUUGUGUCUCCUUCUGGCUGUUGUUUGUGCUGGAAAUCCUGGUUUGUCCUCCCCCACUUCACCAAGCUCAAGUCCUUCAUGAAAGGAAGAACAAAUAUGUUCUGGGAGGCAAACAACGGAGGUGAGAAAGAGGAGGGAGAGCAGAGGGGAAACAAACCGCAUCUUCACCUAUAGAGCUUUAUUUAGCUAUCUGCACCAUGGAGCUUGCACGAUAUUAUUGUGUUGCUUGAUUUUUCCAAGCACCGACUCCAAGCUGGCUGGCAGCAAGAAGCUCCUUCAGAUGGCCACAGAAAGACCUGCUCAUUCAUCAAAGCUCAUUGCUGCUCGGUGGGACAGCAGGAGGACUUCCCCAUGCCUUUUCAGAUGGAAGCUCAGCACUGCAGCACCUCGAUCACCCCAGACAAGUCAGGGCAGGGCAGCCAUGCCCCAGCCACGGUUUGCAGCGCAGGAUGGAUGAGCUUUCCUUUGAACUGCUGAACUACAAAUUCCCCUCCUGGCCAAGCAACCAUGGCAGGUGGGACGAGGAGGGAAAAGAAAGAGUUGCUCAGCGAAUAACGUACUGGGACACUUUAAGGGAUGCUGUCUUGGAGCAGCUGUGAGAGGUCCCCUUAGCAAAUCCUGCUUCCCAACUCACACAAGGGCUGGAGAUACCCAGAGGUUGUGGAGCGUGUUUUGAGGAUGACCUUCAAGAAGCCUAUUGAGCAGGUACGCCUGUGUCUGGAGGAGACGGAGGGCAAUUUUCAAAUUUCAUCCACAUGAUGGAUGUGGAAGGGAAGCUAUGGGAUAUGAGGACACCCAACCAGAAACAAGCUGCCUUUUUGUUGUUAAUAGCCAGGAAGUCUCUGUGGUGCAGAUGUGACAGCAACAGCAAAACCUAUUUCGAGGUCCUGUCCCAUGAAGUAGCUGUGACUACAAAUUGCUCCUUAAUAAUUUCAUCUACCAUAUAAACUUGCUGGAGAAAGCUCUUCUUCAGCUAGCUAUGGAACCUGGACGAAGACUGAAGUUAUCUGCUCAGCUUUCCUGUAAAGAGAGCAAGGGUGAAGAAGGAAAAAUAGAAAUAAAUCCAUGUCCCACAGUCAAAUUAGCCUUACAUGGGAACCCUGGCUCAGUGGAUCCCUGCAAGCCUGACAUCUCUUUGACUUUAGUGCCUGCCAACUGGAAACCUUGUUUGGUGUGUUCCUGAGAGGAAAUUUCACAGGGGGCAAGAAGGAAAGCACCCCUAGCAUCAUAGAAGAAGGGGUAUGUAGGGAGCUAGACAGGAUUACUAAAAGCAAUGGGAUUUUAGCUUGGUCCCAGCUGUACAAUCACAACCACUGCCAAGAGAGACAGUAAAGCUUUAGGGAAAAGAAUGGCUAAAGCAGUGAUGAUUUCUGAGAUAUCUAGAAAGAUGUGCACACUGUGAAUUGGGAAAGAUAAGAAGGGGAAGAGAGUUACCAACAUGAGUCUUAAGGCUUUGACUCUCAAGGAGAAACAAGCCUACAGAGCCAGGUUUGAGCUCCUUUUGGGCCCAGAGAGGAGAUAUGCUUGGAAAAGCCCUGGAGCAUAGCGUUGAGAUCAGAAGCAGCCGGCUUCUGAUCCAAAGGCCCGUGAGAAGGACCUGUGAUACACUCCAGAUCCCAGUCUGUUAGUGCUGCUCUUAGAGCAGUUACCAUUCUGCCUUUCUGCAAAGCCUCAUGCACUGCAUUAAACCCAAGGGCUCUUUACACAGCUAGGAUACAGAAAUUAAUCUUUGCAAAGAGUCCCUUGUCUGUACACUCCCCAGUCUCACUUCAUCUCCCGUGAAGGUUUAAGGAACUCUGCAGCUCCACAACCUCCUGAAAUACUUCCCGUCAGAGCUUUCCUUGCUCUUAUACUGAUCUUCCUGAUGGCUUAUCCUUCUGGUUAUCACAGUGAUAUAAUAUCUUUGUGUUCCUCACAGGAAAAAAAAAUAAAAAAAAAUCUGUCGGCAAAAACAAGGUUGGGAUGUCUCUGGUUCUUGUCUUCUUUAUGGCUAAAAAGAUGUCUCUCUUUCAGAUGUGGAGAGUUGGUGAUGCUGUGAAUGUCAUCCUGCUUUUGAUGGAAAAGGGGCAGGGUUUUUCAGUGUUUCCCAAAGGUGCUCUAAAUGGAUUUGUCUCAUUUCCGCUGCAAGUUUGUCCCACAGCUGGAUCUCUUCAGCUGGGAGACUUUGUCUCUGGUUUGUGCGCUCUUUAUGCUGGGCUUUGUGAUCUGCACUGUCACGAGGAGUGUAAAUGUCCGCCCAGUGUGCAGAUGGGAGGAGGUUUGAGGUGUACAGGGCACAGCACUAAUGACCGAAGAUUAGCUGUGAGGAGCUCAGUUAGGAAGAACAGGGGGGAGUCAGCAAAGGAGUGAGUCACAUUUUACAGGCAGGGAGCCUUUGUCUUCAUUUUGUAUUUGCCCUGAGAUACUGUGUCUGAGUCGCAGAGGCUGUACACAGCUCCAUUACAGACAUGUCUGGGGAUUACAGGUGCCUUUCCUCUCAGUUAUUGAAGCCGUGUCGUUUCUAUUCUUUUGCUUUUAAUAUACCUUUCUCAUGCAACAUUCAUUAUUCUGGCUUUCAUACCUAAAUCCCGUUCCCUGAAGAGGUGGGAAAUCUCAUUUCCGGGAAUUUGUGCCUGUCUUGGUGAAUUCUUAAGAGCUCACCAAGAUUAAGGGUGACUUUCUGCCCCCACCUCCUCCCUGUCAGUAAACCCAACACUCAAGCAUGCGAGUUGCUCAUGCAGAGCCAUUCGGCAUAAAAUGGGCCACAGGCACUCAGCCUCAUGGGACCUGCACUGACCUUCAUUGGGGAUGUUUUCAUCCUUCCCCUUGGUGGCCUCAGCACUCUGUCUUGCUGUCCUGAGCAAGUUUAUUCUGAUAUUAUAUCAGCUGGGGGGAAGCUAAACUGGAUUCAGAGCUGCUUAUUAAAAACUGCCUCUGUUAUGCUCCGUUUUUCCUCCCCAGGCCCUGCCACCAGAAGCCCACCCCCAGCUGAGCCUGCCCCAUCUCCAUGCUGCCUGGCCCCACCUCAUAGCUGGUUCCUUGUGCUUGGCAGCACACCUUGUUCUCAGAGGUGUUUCGGUUCCUGAUGGCGUCCUAGGAGGGGAGCCCGUUGCCUUUUGUCCGUUGAGCCUGGCCGUUCCCACUGAAGCCUGAUUUCAUGUGAGAUUGUGGAGUACAUCAAAGCAGAAGGAUAACAAAUGAAAUAAAUUGUUCUCCUGAGAGCCUGGCUUGUUGGUUCAAAAAAUUUGUUUGGCCUUCUACUAUCAGCAUGCCAGUGUGAGAUGAAAUGUGAAGACAUGGAAAUUCAUGACAUGUAACAACAAUGUGUCUCAGGAGUGCCUUUUUUUU
Non-coding RNA from Anas platyrhynchos (mallard), 3607 nucleotides. NCBI's taxonomy places the organism in Eukaryota, Metazoa, Chordata, Aves, Anseriformes, Anatidae. The record is from RefSeq and is a predicted model, not a curated record.